This 251-nucleotide long non-coding RNA is filed under the name Mytilus galloprovincialis (Mediterranean mussel). The record is from RNAcentral. Lineage: Eukaryota; Metazoa; Mollusca; Bivalvia; Mytilida; Mytilidae.
CGUUCGUCCGUCCGGUUAAAGUUUUUGGUCGAGGUAGUUUUUGAUGAAGCUGAAGUCCAAUCAACUUGAAACUUAAUACACAUGUUCCCCAUGAUAUGAUCUUUCUAAUUUUAAUGCCAAAUUAAAGUUUUGACCCCAAUUUUAUGGUCCACUGAACAUAGAAAAUGAUAGUGCAAAGUUCAGGUUAAAGUUUUUGGUCAAGGUAGUUUUUGAUGAAGUUAAAGUUACAUCAACUUGAAACUUAGUACACC